This 363-nucleotide ribosomal RNA is filed under the name uncultured bacterium. Its description in RNAcentral is "bacterial SSU rRNA". It matches the Rfam family "Bacterial small subunit ribosomal RNA", at positions 28 to 378 of the family's 1533-position model. The record is from RNAcentral.
GAUGAACGCUGGCGGCAUGCCUAAUACAUGCAAGUCGAACGGGAUAUCUUCGGAUAUCCAGUGGCGAACGGGUGAGUAACACGUAGGUAACCUGCCCAUGUGCCCGGGAUAACGCCUGGAAACGGGUGCUAAAACCGGAUAGGUAUCGCUUCUGCAUGGAAGAGAUAUUAAAGGAGCUGCAAGGCUCUAGAACAUGGAGUCGGACCUGGCGGUGCUAUUAGCGUGGGUUGGUGGAGGUAACGGUCCACCAAGGCGACGAUGCAUAGCCGGCCUGAGAGGGUGAACGGCCACAGUUGGGACUGAGACACGGACCCAAACUCCGUACGGGAGGCAGCAGUAGGGUAAUUUUUCGUCAAGUGGGGG